Long non-coding RNA from Thalassophryne amazonica, 414 nucleotides. RefSeq lists it as uncharacterized. The record is from RefSeq and is a predicted model, not a curated record. The transcript is spliced from 2 exons. NCBI's taxonomy places the organism in Eukaryota, Metazoa, Chordata, Actinopteri, Batrachoidiformes, Batrachoididae.
AAGAAGGACCUGCUCCAGGCUGCUACAGUCCACAAUCCAGACCUGCAAAAGGGAUCACUUCCUGCUUCAAAUCAGCAGUGCCGCGGCUCCAGUAUGUGCAGUCAAAAACCCCCGGACCUGGAGCCUAUGAUCCUUACUGGAAGCUGGGUGACCACCGGAACACCGUCGCCAACACGUCAUUUAGCCUGUUGUUCCGCAACAUUCCAUAGUGUGGAAUGUAUUAAUUCCACAACCAUCUCAUGUUUUCAACUUGCACUCUGAUCACAUAUGAUCAGACCAUAUUCUAUAUUAUAAUGCAUGCAUGAGUAUGGCUUAGAUCACGCUAAAACCAGGGAGAGCUAACAUUUUCUGUUUGGCAUGCUCAUGUAUUCUGGGUCAACGAUGAACGCUGCAAAAACAUAAAGUUGAUAGGAC